RNAcentral lists this ribosomal RNA (445 nucleotides) under uncultured bacterium. RNAcentral describes it as "partial 16S ribosomal RNA". It matches the Rfam family "Bacterial small subunit ribosomal RNA", at positions 354 to 796 of the family's 1533-position model. The record is from RNAcentral.
GUGAGGAAUAUUGGACAAUGGGCGCAAGCCUGAUCCAGCCAUGCCGCGUGCAGGAAGACGCAUCUAUGGUGUGUAAACUGCUUUUGUACGGGAAGAAACACUCCCUCGUGAGGGAGCUUGACGGUACCGUAAGAAUAAGGAUCGGCUAACUCCGUGCCAGCAGCCGCGGUAAUACGGAGGAUCCAAGCGUUAUCCGGAAUCAUUGGAUUUAAAGGGUCCGUAGGCGGUUUAAUAAGUCAGUGGUGAAAGCCCAUCGCUCAACGAUGGAACGGCCAUUGAUACUGUUAGACUUGAAUUACAAGGAAGUAACUAGAAUAUGUAGUGUAGCGGUGAAAUGCUUAGAUAUUACAUGGAAUACCAAUUGCGAAGGCAGGUUACUACUUGUGGAUUGACGCUGAUGGACGAAAGCGUGGGGAGCGAACGGGAUUAGAUACCCGUGUAGUCC